GUAUAGUGUAGUACAAUCCCUUCACAAAUACAUUAAGCCAGUUUUAUGAAUAUCAUAAAAUCAUUUUUGUGAACACUGUAACAAAAAAAACUACCUUAUUUUUUAUUGUGUGAAAAAGAAAUACCGCAAACUCUACGAAAAAGAUGUGCGAAAAUAAUAAAUAAAUUUCCUGUGGUCUUCUAAGAUUAUGUUGCUUUCCAUAACACGAAUCAGCUAUUAAGUCGCAAAACCUGAGUCUGCAAAAGUGCUGGUAUCAGAUUACCUGUCUUCCCCUGAAUUAACAAGCGUUUCAAGAGUUUCAUAAUAUAUACCAAAUGCAUUGUCUUGUUGAAUAC
RNAcentral lists this long non-coding RNA (335 nucleotides) under Drosophila guanche. Lineage: Eukaryota; Metazoa; Arthropoda; Insecta; Diptera; Drosophilidae. The record is from RNAcentral.